Non-coding RNA from Acanthosepion pharaonis, 113 nucleotides. Lineage: Eukaryota; Metazoa; Mollusca; Cephalopoda; Sepiida; Sepiidae. The record is from the annotation of a GenBank genome assembly.
UUACGACCAUAUCACCUUAAAACACCGCUUCUCGUAUGAUGACCAAAGUUAAGCAACCUCGAGCUUGAUCAGUGUCUGGAUGGGUGACCGAUUGGGAAUACCAGAUUACUGUA